UACGGGGGGAGCAAGCGUUGUUCGGAUUUACUGGGCGUAAAGGGCGCGUAGGCGGUCAGCACAAGUCAGUCGUGAAAUCUCCGGGCUUAACUCGGAAAGGUCAACUGAUACUGUGCGACUAGAGUGCAGAAGGGGCAACUGGAAUUCUCGGUGUAGCGGUGAAAUGCGUAGAGAUCGGGAAGAACAUCGGUGGCGAAAGCGCUCUACUGGACCGCAACCGACACUCAGGGACGAAAGCUAGGGGAGCGAUCCGG
RNAcentral lists this ribosomal RNA (254 nucleotides) under uncultured bacterium. Its description in RNAcentral is "partial 16S ribosomal RNA". It matches the Rfam family "Bacterial small subunit ribosomal RNA", at positions 524 to 776 of the family's 1533-position model. The record is from RNAcentral.